GUUUAAGUAGUUUAAUUUAGAAUAACAAUUUGUGGUAUUGUGGGUAUAUUUAUUAUCUUGGACU
Molecule: transfer RNA, 64 nt
Filed under: Pylorgus porrectus
Lineage: Eukaryota; Metazoa; Arthropoda; Insecta; Hemiptera; Lygaeidae
Description: tRNA-His
Source: RNAcentral